This 429-nucleotide ribosomal RNA is filed under the name Gemmatimonadota bacterium. Its description in RNAcentral is "Gemmatimonadetes bacterium partial 16S ribosomal RNA". It matches the Rfam family "Bacterial small subunit ribosomal RNA", at positions 355 to 776 of the family's 1533-position model. Lineage: Bacteria; Pseudomonadati; Gemmatimonadota. The record is from RNAcentral.
UAGGGAAUCUUCGGCAAUGGACGAAAGUCUGACCGAGCAACGCAGCGUGAGUGAAGAAGGUUUUCGGAUCGUAAAACUCUGUUGUUAGAGAAGAACAAGGACGUUAGUAACUGAACGUCCCCUGACGGUAUCUAACCAGAAAGCAACGGCUAACUACGUGCCAGCAGCCGCGGUAAUACGUAGGUGGCAAGCGUUGUCCGGAUUUAUUGGGCGUAAAGCGAGCGCAGGCGGUUUCUUAAGUCUGAUGUGAAAGCCCCCGGCUCAACCGGGGAGGGUCAUUGGAAACUGGGAGACUUGAGUGCAGAAGAGGAGAGUGGAAUUCCAUGUGUAGCGGUGAAAUGCGUAGAUAUAUGGAGGAACACCAGUGGCGAAGGCGGCUCUCUGGUCUGUAACUGACGCUGAGGCUCGAAAGCGUGGGGAGCAAACAGG